AAAAAGUCAAACCCUGAGUUUCCGUGUCCAACUUUGACGGUCCGUCUUAUAUGGAUUUUUUUAUAAUUCGUAUUUUCAUUGUUGUUAGAUGAUAAAACAUGAUUAAUAUUUUAUGCGUGACUUGUCUUUUUAAUUUUAAAUAAACGGUCAAACGUUGGGCACGAAAACCAGGGUUUGUCUUUUU
MicroRNA precursor from Oryza rufipogon (brownbeard rice), 184 nucleotides. It matches the Rfam family "MIR812 microRNA precursor family". The record is from Rfam. NCBI's taxonomy places the organism in Eukaryota, Viridiplantae, Streptophyta, Magnoliopsida, Poales, Poaceae.